AUUACGAUCAAAGCAGAAUAUAUUAAGAUCAUCCCUGGAAAGGUUAAAGGUGAAUAUAACAUGAGCUUACAUACAUUACGUAAACAGUGCAGAAGACAUGAAUAAUGCCUACAAAACAUAGAUAACAACAAGAGGUUGUUGUGUUAUAUCUUUAUUUCUGGCUCUUCUUUUUCCACAAGUCUCCAAACAUUUUAAUGCCAGAGCCCUUCCUUUUUCCACUUCCAAAACCAUCAUCCAAGUCAUCAGCUAUUCCUGGUGAUCCCACAAAACCAGUGUACCCACCACCACCACCACCACCUGUUGUUCCAAAUACGCCACCAAAGUGCUUAUCCAUGGAUCCACACCUCUCGGUAAUCCUACCAUUCAUCUCCACUGCUCCAGCGAGCACUGCUGCUGCUGCAUCUGCUGCUUUUCUCCACUGCUCAGUCUGCACUCUCAUCUUCUUUAUCUCUGCUUCCAAGGCUUUUUUUGCUCCUUCUGCGGAUUCCAGCUUCUCCUUCAAAUCAGCUUCAUUUGAUUUGCUUUGUUUUAGCUCCUCUCCCAGUUGGUUAAGCCUCAUGGACAUUUCCUCUUCCUUUGUUUUAGCGGAUGAUACAUUUGAAGUUGCUUCAUUCAAUAGAUUCUUCAAAUUCUCAUUCUCUUUACCAAAUGCAUCCAAUUCAUUUUCUUUUUUUUCUAACUUGGCUUUCAGCAUAUUUAUCUCAUCAUCUUUUAAAGCCAACUCAUGGAAUGAUGGCUUUACUGGCUCUGAAAUUGCCAGUAUUUCAGUUGUAAUUUUAGUAACACAGUUUCCUUUUUCCACCUGAUCAAUCAGGUGGCCAGGUUCAACCUUGGCCUCAACAGCCUCUUUUUCUACUGAAACUUCAAAAAUGUCAGUUUCCUGCAGAUUGUCAUCAGACACUUCAUCCGCAACAUUGUCCUCUGCCUUAUCAAAAUCCCUGAUUUCCAUUGGAGGAUGUUUCUCUUGAAUUUCCUCAGGCUCUGGAAUAGUCGGUUUCUUUGUUUUCUUUUCUAAUUCUUGUUGAGCUUCUUUCUUUGCGGCUUCAGCAGAAGCUAAUUGACCUUUCAGAAUCUUCAACUCUUCCUGUGCUUGGCCAAGUUGGGAUUCUAAAUCUGCAAUACGGGUGCCAAGUUUCUUUUGGUUCAAUGAGUCAGGAGGGGGGCCUCGUGGGGAGCGACGGUCUCCCAGCUUGGGGCUUCGCUCAGUGAUUGGUCGAUGAUGCAGUGGAUCUGACUCUGAGCUAGAUGUCCUAAGUGGAUGCGGACCUCGAGGUGACUGCCUUUGAGGCAUUUCAGAACCCCUGUUCAUAUGCAAAAACAAAAUGGCACACAUUAUAUUGCGCAAACCAAAGAAAUACAUGGCUUAACUUCCAAUUAAGUAAUCAUGCAACAUUUAAUGUAAUUUGACACAUACUUCUCUUUUGAAAACCAACAGAUUCUAGAUUAAAUACAGAGAAGAAUGAGCCUGUGAGUGAUGAAAAAUGAAACAAACAUCUUAAUAGAUUACAAACUCCCAUAAAAACAUGCAUAUGCAGGUGAUACAAUCAGGCAGACACAUCUAAUAAUAUAGCAUAUACAAGUAUAUCAUGUAUGAUCUGAUUUCUUGCUCAACACAAGUGCAAAAGAAAUUAGUCUUUUCCUUAUUCAUCCCACAAGUGCCUAUUAUUGUUGUGGUCUAUUAACCAUACAACUGGACAAACACAAAUGAUUUAUCGAAGUACUGAGUCCUAAACCAAAACUAGUGUAAACAUGCAACUGCUGAAUAGCCAAAGAAAAUGCAGUAUCAGACUUGAUAAGAAAGAGGAAGACAUACGAGGAUGCAGAGAAUGACAAAAUAGCAUGCGCAAAUAAAUCAAGCCAUAAUCCAACUAUUGUGCACAGUAAAAUGCUGUGAAUUAAACAUAAGCACCCUUCACCAAUCAGCAAUUCCGUAAUGGCAUCUUUAAUAACAGAAGUCAACAUGCUUAUCCAUGUUAACAUUUGCUCAAGUUUUCACUAGCAGAAAUGCAAAUGAAAAAAAAUCAAAAUAUAAUGCAAUACGUAUGCAUAUAUCCAUAUGAAAACUAGAAAAAUAGUGUUUACGUACCUUGACCUCGGCAUUUGAUCAGAUUCAGAAAUAUUGGUUGGAGAACAGCAAGAAGAGUGUUAGAGAAUUGUUCUCUGAGAAAUCUAAUAAACAAACAAAAGCCAAAAGGGAAAAUAAUGCAAAAAGAGAGAGAAACCAAAAAGUUAGAAUGCUCAUAAAUAAACUAUCAAUGUAAAGAAAUUGGAAAAAAUAAAAUAACAUCCAUAAUAAUUAAUUCAUUGAUAUACCAGCCUAACUUUCUUGCCUGCAAUGCCAAUGCCAAGCACUUGGUAGAGAACAUCAACUUAAGCUUCUAGUUACAUGCAAAAGUUUAAAGCAUAUGUUCUAGACUUAUGAAAUGAAAAUAGAACAUAACUUCUUAUUUCAUUGAACUGAGAGAGUAAGAGGCAAAGCAAGUAAAGCAUGACUGUCAAUAGAGUCGUAUUAUUUGGUUCAAUUUGAUAGUGGAAUACAAAAAUAAAAUAAAAUAAAAUGAUUCCUCAUUUGUAAUGCCCUUUAAGAAGCCAACUUUUGGUAGGAGUCAUAAAUCAUGUUUUAAUGCAUAUGCUUGGCAGGCUGAGUUUAAUGAAAAGUAAAAUGAAGAAAGCAGGAAUUCUUUGCAUGCCCCACAAUAUUCAUUUAGCCUAGACAUGUCAUGCGUACAAUUUAUACCAAAUAGAACCAUCAUAUUCAAAAUCUGACAUAACAAGUCUGAGAAGUGUAAAGCUAGGAAAAAAAUCUAAUAAAUGGUGUACCAUGUCUUAUGAAAACAUGCAUUUCAACGAGAUUAUAGAAUUUACAAAAGAUUAUGUAAACCUGCACACACAACACACGCACACAGAGAGAAAGUCACCCUUUUACAAAACCUUUCAAUUUUAAAAUUGCUCAUUUUGUGGAUUUAGAUAGUAUUCCAACUGAGUAAAGGUUCUCAAUCUAUAUAACCAUUUUUUUUAAACAAUCAAACUAGAUUUGCAUUAGAUGGCCCAAAUGGGCAAAUUACAGAUACUAGAGAACCGAGGCAGUCAAGCCUCACAAGAAAACCUCAUAUUUCUAAUCUAUAGAUAUGGACAAUUUUUCAAAUGUGAACUGGUGAAAAAUGAAAAAUAGAUGCCAUGAUUUCACCUCAAAAAAUCUCAAAAGGUUGCCCAUCUUUUUUAUGGUCCAUGCAGUGUUGAUGAAUGAUGAAAUGUACACAAACGCAACCCUAUACAGUGAUGUAGAAUUCAGACUCACUUAUCAUAUAUAUGAAUUUCAUUGUGCCUGCUUCAGACAACUAUUAAUUCACCUUCCAACUUUGAGACCCUCCCAUGGGAGCAGGUGUAUACUGUCAACUCUACUCAAUAAUUGCACAUAAAAUAUAUGCAUUGUACAUAAAACACCAACCCAUCAUUAUUUUUUAACCAAUUCCCAAAAGCAAAUCCAUUCCUUUAACACUUUCAGUCCUCCCCUCCCAAAUAGAGUUUAACUAUGUAGUUCCAAAAAGCCAAUGCCUUCUCUCUUUUUUCCUACCAUCUCUACAUAAUUAAUAAAAGAUUAUGUAUAAGCAAUGCAAUGAUCAAAUGGUAUAGUGAUAAGAGUGUCUAUCUGUGUUAUAAUACAAUGCAAUGAUUAAAUACAUCUCUACUAUGGAAUGAAUAUACAUAUGAAAAAGAACCCAAAACAUGUAGCACUGCCAGUUUAACUUUCGGAGGCUCAAUACAAUUUCUCCCAAAUUGCAAGUGGUGACUUUGCAAGGGCACUUGCGUCAUUUCAAUCAAGCUUUUACUAACAAGUGAGGAGCCACAAAGGAGUGAACAAGCAGAAGCGUGAAAACAGUGACAGUGGAAUGUCUUCAAACCAGAAUCCGGCCAAAAAUAAAUAAAUGGAUUAACCAGUAGGAGUGACAUCCCACACACGCGCCGCCACGCGCGUGUUCUUAUAAUACAAGACAAACCAAUUUUAAAAGAUUUUUCUUUCAGCUUGUGGUCGUAUGGAAAAACAGACCUCCAUUUCAAAAUACAAAAUAAAGACAAACGAAAACAGACAGAUCUGAAAAUGUUGCAUGUCAGACCGACGUAAAGGAAAUUAUUGAAAAAAUAAAAAAGAAAAACUGAAAGAAUGCGUUUGGUUGCUGAGAAAAUGAAUAAAAAAGGAAGGGGUGGGAACUUGGACUACAAGUGGAAUUUUACAACAGUUGGUGGCUUUAGAAUGGUGGGUAGUAAUGAGAUUCCAA
RNAcentral lists this unclassified non-coding RNA (4277 nucleotides) under Hevea brasiliensis (rubber tree). Lineage: Eukaryota; Viridiplantae; Streptophyta; Magnoliopsida; Malpighiales; Euphorbiaceae. The record is from RNAcentral.